CAGCAAUCCUACGGUGAUCUCUAUAUCCGAUCUCCUGCAGCCCACCCCAUGAAGCGGAUUGAAAGCCAGAGGCACGGUGCUGCCAGAGCUGUAAACUGCUGAGAAAGCGGGCACGCUGUAAAAGAUCGUCCACUGGAUUAUCAUCGACAGGAAAUUGUUACUGAGGGGUGCAAAACAGUUUCUGGAAAAUCAGGAACAUCUGUCCGCUAUCAGAGCUUUUGCUGCAAUGCGUUUGGACACUUGGAAAACAUUUGCAGAGACUACAGGAGCCAAAAGUUUUCCGUUGGAUGAGUUUCUCGCCAAAUACCCUCCCCAACUCAUGUACUUCUCUCUUGACUCUUUCGUGGUAAUGUGUGCCUGGGAAGCUGCCAGAAGGUGCAAGUGCUGCUCCGCAAAAGGAACAACGGAGAGCUCCUGGCUGCUCGGUGCGCCGGACCGAGUUUUGGCGCCGAUGCCGGGGUAGCAGGGGCCAGACAAGUCGGGAGGAGCUUCUCCUCCUGUCCCUUCUCGGAAUGCAUGUUGCAGGAGAGCUCAAAAAAAGGG
Long non-coding RNA from Archocentrus centrarchus (flier cichlid), 543 nucleotides. RefSeq lists it as uncharacterized. Lineage: Eukaryota; Metazoa; Chordata; Actinopteri; Cichliformes; Cichlidae. The transcript is spliced from 3 exons. The record is from RefSeq and is a predicted model, not a curated record.